This 442-nucleotide ribosomal RNA is filed under the name uncultured bacterium. RNAcentral describes it as "partial 16S ribosomal RNA". It matches the Rfam family "Bacterial small subunit ribosomal RNA", at positions 338 to 795 of the family's 1533-position model. The record is from RNAcentral.
CCUACGGGAGGCUGCAGUGGGGAAUAUUGGGCAAUGGGCGCAAGCCUGACCCAGCAACGCCGCGUGAAGGAAGAAGGCUUUCGGGUUGUAAACUUCUUUUAUCAGGGACGAAGCAAGUGACGGUACCUGAUGAAUAAGCCACGGCUAACUACGUGCCAGCAGCCGCGGUAAUACGGAAGGCCCGAGCGUUAUCCGGAUUCAUUGGGCUUAAAGGGAGCGUAGGCGGGCGUUCAAGUCAGCUGUAAAAUCGCGCGGCUCAACCGCGCCCCGCAGUUGAAACUGGACGCCUUGAGUUCACAACAGGCAGGCGGAAUUCGUGGUGUAGCGGUGAAAUGCAUAGAUAUCACGCAGAACUCCGAUUGCGAAGGCAGCAUACCGGCGCCCAACUGACGCUCAGGCACGAAAGCGUGGGUAUCGAACAGGAUUAGAUACCCUUGUAGUC